Molecule: non-coding RNA, 104 nt
Organism: Capsicum annuum
Lineage: Eukaryota; Viridiplantae; Streptophyta; Magnoliopsida; Solanales; Solanaceae
Source: Rfam
GUUCAUCCAUGGGUCCUCUUUCACCCAUGGAAUGAUACAAAGAAGAUUAGAAUGACCCUUGCGCAAGGAUGACACGCACAAAUCGAGAAAUGGUCCAAAUUUUG